RNAcentral lists this ribosomal RNA (113 nucleotides) under Anaerobacillus sp. HL2. The record is from RNAcentral. Lineage: Bacteria; Bacillati; Bacillota; Bacilli; Caryophanales; Bacillaceae.
UUUAGUGGCGAUAGAAGGGGUCACACUCGUUCCCAUGCCGAACACGAUCGUUAGCUCUUUUGCGCCGAUGGUAGUUGGGGGUUUCCCCCCUGCCGAGUAGGACGUUGCUAAAC